AUUGAACGCUGGCGGAAUGCUUUACACAUGCAAGUCGAACGGUAGAGGGGGCAACCCCUUGAGAGUGGCGAACGGGUGAGUAAUAUAUCGGAACGUGCCCAGUCGUGGGGGAUAACGUAGCGAAAGUUACGCUAAUACCGCAUACGAUCUACGGAUGAAAGCGGGGGACUCGCAAGAGCCUCGCGCGAUUGGAGCGGCCGAUAUCAGAUUAGGUAGUUGGUGGGGUAAAGGCUCACCAAGCCAACGAUCUGUAGCUGGUCUGAGAGGACGACCAGCCACACUGGAACUGAGACACGGUCCAGACUCCUACGGGAGGCAGCAGUGGGGAAUUUUGGACAAUGGACGCAAGUCUGAUCCAGCCAUUCCGCGUGCAGGAUGAAGGCCCUCGGGUUGUAAACUGCUUUUGUACGGAACGAAAAGGUCUCUCUUAAUACGGGGGGCUCAUGACGGUACCGUAAGAAUAAGCACCGGCUAACUACGUG
RNAcentral lists this ribosomal RNA (482 nucleotides) under uncultured bacterium. RNAcentral describes it as "bacterial SSU rRNA". It matches the Rfam family "Bacterial small subunit ribosomal RNA", at positions 30 to 507 of the family's 1533-position model. The record is from RNAcentral.